UGGGGAAUAUUGAACAAUGGGCGCAAGCCUGAUGCAGCCAUGCCGCGUGUAUGAAGGAGGCCUUCGGGUUGUAAAGUACUUUCAGCGGGGAGGAAGGGAGUAAAGUUAAUACCUUUGCUCAUUGACGUUACCCGCAGAAGAAGCACCGGCUAACUCCGUGCCAGCAGCCGCGGUAAUACGGAGGGUGCAAGCGUUAAUCGGAAUUACUGGGCGUAAAGCGCACGCAGGCGGUUUGUUAAGUCAGAUGUGAAAUCCCCGGGCUCAACCUGGGAACUGCAUCUGAUACUGGCAAGCUUGAGUCUCGUAGAGGGGGGUAGAAUUCCAGGUGUAGCGGUGAAAUGCGUAGAGAUCUGGAGGAAUACCGGUGGCGAAGGCGGCCCCCUGGACGAAGACUGACGCUCAGGUGCGAAAGCGUGGGGAGCAAACAGG
This 429-nucleotide ribosomal RNA is filed under the name Chloroflexota bacterium. Its description in RNAcentral is "Chloroflexi bacterium partial 16S ribosomal RNA". It matches the Rfam family "Bacterial small subunit ribosomal RNA", at positions 355 to 776 of the family's 1533-position model. The record is from RNAcentral. Lineage: Bacteria; Bacillati; Chloroflexota.